RNAcentral lists this ribosomal RNA (466 nucleotides) under uncultured bacterium. RNAcentral describes it as "bacterial SSU rRNA". It matches the Rfam family "Bacterial small subunit ribosomal RNA", at positions 28 to 507 of the family's 1533-position model. The record is from RNAcentral.
GACGAACGCUGGCGGCGUGCCCUAACACAUGCAAGUCGAGCGAGGAGAAGUUCCUUCGGGAACAAACCUAGCGGCGGACGGGUGAGUAACACGUGGGCAACCUGCCUUGUAGAGGGGAAUAGCCUUCCGAAAGGAAGAUUAAUACCGCAUAACAUUACAGUUUCGCAUGAAACAGUAAUUAAAGGAGCAAUCCGCUACAAGAUAGGCCCGCGGCGCAUUAGCUAGUUGGUGAGGUAACGGCUCACCAAGGCGACGAUGCGUAGCCGACCUGAGAGGGUGAUCGGCCACAUUGGGACUGAGACACGGCCCAGACUCCUACAGGAGGCAGCAGUGGGGAAUAUUGCACAAUGGGGGAAACCCUGAUGCAGCAACGCCGCGUGAGUGAUGAAGGUUUUCGGAUCGUAAAGCUCUGUCUUCGGGGACGAUAAUGACGGUACCCGAGGAGGAAGCACCGGCUAACUCCGUG